UCGCUCCUACCGAUUUCGAGUGAUCCGGUGAACCUUCUGGACUGUGGGCGGUUCAACCGCUCGCGGGAAGUUAAGUAAACCAAUUCACUUAGAGGAAGGAG
This 101-nucleotide ribosomal RNA is filed under the name uncultured eukaryote. RNAcentral's name for it is "partial small subunit ribosomal RNA". The record is from RNAcentral.